GAUGAACGCUGGCGGCGUGCCUAAUACAUGCAAGUCGAGCGAACAGACGAGGAGCUUGCUCCUCUGACGUUAGCGGCGGACGGGUGAGUAACACGUGGAUAACCUACCUAUAAGACUGGGAUAACUUCGGGAAACCGGAGCUAAUACCGGAUAAUAUAUUGAACCGCAUGGUUCAAUAGUGAAAGACGGUUUUGCUGUCACUUAUAGAUGGAUCCGCGCCGCAUUAGCUAGUUGGUAAGGUAACGGCUUACCAAGGCAACGAUGCGUAGCCGACCUGAGAGGGUGAUCUGCCACACUGGAACUGAGACACGGUCCAGACUCCUACGGGAGGCAGCAGUAGGGAAUCUUCCGCAAAGGGCGAAAGCCUGACGGAGCAACGCCGCGUGAGUGAUGAAGGUCUUCGGAUCGUAAAACUCUGUUAUUAGGGAAGAACAAAUGUGUAAGUAACUAUGCACGUCUUGACGGUACCUAAUCAGAAAGCCACGGCUAACUACGUG
RNAcentral lists this ribosomal RNA (497 nucleotides) under uncultured bacterium. RNAcentral describes it as "partial 16S ribosomal RNA". It matches the Rfam family "Bacterial small subunit ribosomal RNA", at positions 28 to 507 of the family's 1533-position model. The record is from RNAcentral.